This 2071-nucleotide long non-coding RNA is filed under the name Nicotiana benthamiana. RNAcentral describes it as "long non-coding RNA (NBEN_LNC012389)". Lineage: Eukaryota; Viridiplantae; Streptophyta; Magnoliopsida; Solanales; Solanaceae. The record is from RNAcentral.
CGACUUCGUCGAGAUUUGGAUUUGGGUUGCAUCAAUGCACAUCCGAGUUUAAGAAGGUACUUUAAUUAAAGCGCGUCUAAAGAUUCUAUCGCAAUACUAUUUGGGGAAGGUCGUGAUAUUCACUAAACGCCCCUCCCAAUUCUAAUCAAUUCUUAUAAUUAUUUAUCGAGGGCCCCGCAUUUGGUUUUGUUUGACGAGGCUCAUCUCAGCUUAUUUUAAAAGCAAACUUAAAAACGACUAUGUUCCCUAUUUUUGGUUUUGUUUCUAACAAGGUAAUUAAAAUCCUAUCUAACUAUCUCGGUCAAAAUAACCCAGAACCUUCCAUACUAUCCUUCAAAUCCUACAGCCCAAACGACAUGGGCCUGUGACAGGCCAAUUCUUCGUGUUCCAACGAUCAAAAACAGUGUGGGCAUCGAGCCCAAAUAACGGGAAACAACGAAAUUCUUGUUGAGAAAAACGAAGGUAAUAGCUUCAACAAGUAAUGAAAUCCCUUGUCUGGGAUCGAAUCCCCAUCCCAACUUGAAUAACAAUCGAGCCUAAUUAAACAUGGUGAAGACGUACGACUAACAAGACCUGGCAAUAUAUUUUCUCAACAGAUUAAUCAAGGAUCAUGACAUGAUUCAGGAGAAUAUUUGACUAAUAUACUAAUUACAUGAUGAAUUUAUUCUUCAGUAGGUGAACUUCAAACCACUCUAUCAAUUCAAUUUAUCCAAAUAGUCCUAGUCAGGUUAGUUAUUACAAAUGAUCCCUGAAAUCAAUAAUUCAUACAAAAAAUAAUCUCGAACGAGUGAAGUAGCACUGAUGCAAAAUCACGAGUGCUAAGCAUUUAUUUCAGUUGACUACUUCCACAUGAUGACACAAAUUGACUUAACUUGGGUUCCUUCUAUUUCAUUUCAAAUCGAGACUACAUCAGGAAUGUUCAGGAGUAUACCUGGGAAAGAUGAAACAAUGAAGAGAAGAAAAAUCAGCAGCAGGCAGCAGAAACAAUUGAACCACAACUAUAAACUCAGCCCGGAAAAUGGAUCAAUAGACCAGGUAACAAACAGGAGGAGAAUUUGACCAAAAUAGCACCAAUCCCAAACACGAACUCAGAUGACAUCCAUAACAUCAGCAUGCAUCAAAAGGGAAACCUAAUUAAACUAACGACCGAUUGAAACAAUUAAUAUUUGAGAAAAAGAAAAUCAAAAUCACAUCAUAAUUUAAAUAAAGAAAUGACAAUCAACCCUAAACGAAUUAACCUAAACACUUAUGACAAUCAUAAAGACAAUUUGGUGCUAAACUCGACUUGAAACUAGAACUAUGCUCAGAACAGUGAGUCGAACCAGGAACUAAAGAAACGAAAGAGAGAAAUCUUACCAAAAAUUAGUCUUCAAACCAACUGCUUUUGGAAUCAAGCUUUAAUUAAUCUUAUAAGUUUACCUUUGUCAAGGCGCUCAAUAGAAGAGUGAGUCGAACCAAGAACUAAAGAAACUAAAGAGAGAAAUCUUACCGAAAAUUAGUCUUCAAACCAACCGCUUUUGGAAUCGAGCUUUAAUUAAUUUUAUAAGUUUACCUUUGUCAAGGUAAUCUCAUAACAUUAAUAAAAAAAACCAUCUGAAUUCCUUAAGUUUCAAAAUAAGUCGUCAUUCUAAUACCUCAGAUCUGAUAUUCGAGCCUAACCAGGAUGAUUCGAGAAGCACAGCUUGGGAAUUUGGGACGAGAAGGUUAAGGCGGGUCUAUGACGUAAAUUUGGGGUCAUUUGGCAUAGGUGACGAACUGGCCGGAAAACUUCAAACGAAGAUUCGAACAACCUGGCUGUGAUUCGAAGGAAACAAGUUUGAUAUUUGGAAUGGGGAAGAGAAGGAGAGUCUGGGGUGUGAUUUUGGGAUGGCUUGGCCAUGGCGGUGACGACUCCGGCGAGAUGUGAAACGGUACGAGGAAGAUGAGAGGAUGUCUCUAGGGUUCUGAUUCUAUUCAGACACUUUUAACUGAUUUGGGGGUGAGAUAUGGGCCGUUAGAUCAAGGUAUAUCGACGUCUGAGAUUGACUAGGCCAAGACGGCGUCGUUCUGGUAAAAUGGGGGUUGGGCCGGG